AACAUAGUUUCGUCAGUGCCUGCGCCGUCGACGAGCCGGCGCCCGGCGGCACUGGAGCGACGCGAGCGCGGAUCAGGUCGGACUCCCGGCCGCCGCCUCGCCAAAGUGGGAGCGCAAAUGGGCGCCAGCGCCACUCACGGGGUGCGGCCGCGGCGUGCGUGUUCGGCUGCUGGGAGCCGCACAAGGUGGCCCACGGGCCACGACGCACGUGUACGUGCUGCUGCCACGGCAGCUGGCAAAGCAUCGGUCGGCGCCGUCGCGCUGGUUGCCUGCGUCGGCCACUCUAGUUCAGUUGAGCAGUGAGGACUCCUGCUGUGAAUUCAUGGAGCAGUAACCACUAAUCAACAAGUCAAUAGGGUCAAACGAAGCUUGAUCUCAGAACUAGAAGUGGGUGUUACUUUCAGUCUGUCACCACACUAUAAUAUAAGAUCUGCAGGUACCGCCGGAUGAGUCAAGGAUUGCUGCUCAUCAGUGGCACGCCUGACACGACACGGGCUGCUGACCAGGCGUCGACUCGCAACGCAAGCAGCCGGUUAGAUGCUGUUGCUGCCCCGGGACUCGCAAGCAGGCGGGUCCGUUCCAAUUCCGUGGACUCGAUCCAGGCGGACCACGCCCCGGGCCAGCCGAUCCAUCUUUGUUCCAAGGCGCAAGGGCCACGGGGAUGCUGGCGGAUGGAGGGCGUGUGCGGCAUCGACGUUGUCUGUGGUAGACUGGUACGAUUCAUGCACAACAUUAUUAUCUCCAGGUUAUUUUGCAUGCUGUCUCCGUCACACGGAAGCAUGAUCAUUCAUCAGAACUUAGAAGUUGCCUACUAGAGCUUAAAGUCAGCUAAGAGAUCAUAUACAAUCCAAAGGUGACAAGGAACUAUGGAUUGCAAACACCCAAUUUUCCCAAGGUUUUGUCUGGUUGUAGGAAAACAGCUAUAGAAGAACCUACAAGUAUAGUUUUCAUUUUAUGUUUUAAUAAAAUCGUUUAAAAAAUUGCGGA
Long non-coding RNA from Zea mays, 987 nucleotides. RefSeq lists it as uncharacterized. The transcript is spliced from 3 exons. Lineage: Eukaryota; Viridiplantae; Streptophyta; Magnoliopsida; Poales; Poaceae. The record is from RefSeq and is a predicted model, not a curated record.